This 700-nucleotide ribosomal RNA is filed under the name uncultured Actinomycetes bacterium. RNAcentral's name for it is "bacterial SSU rRNA". It matches the Rfam family "Bacterial small subunit ribosomal RNA", at positions 94 to 808 of the family's 1533-position model. The record is from RNAcentral. Lineage: Bacteria; Bacillati; Actinomycetota; Actinomycetes.
AGUGGCGAACGGGUGAGUAACACGUGAGUAACCUGCCCUUGACUCUGGGAUAACUGCUAGAAAUGGUAGCUAAUACCGGAUACGACCCUCGGCGGCAUCGCCAGGGGGUGGAAAGAAUUUCGGUCAAGGAUGGACUCGCGGCCUAUCAGCUAGUUGGUGAGGUAACGGCUCACCAAGGCGACGACGGGUAGCCGGCCUGAGAGGGUGACCGGCCACACUGGGACUGAGACACGGCCCAGACUCCUACGGGAGGCAGCAGUGGGGAAUAUUGCACAAUGGGCGCAAGCCUGAUGCAGCAACGCCGCGUGAGGGAUGACGGCCUUCGGGUUGUAAACCUCUUUUAGUAGGGAAGAAGCGAAAGUGACGGUACCUGCAGAAAAAGCACCGGCUAACUACGUGCCAGCAGCCGCGGUAAUACGUAGGGUGCAAGCGUUGUCCGGAAUUAUUGGGCGUAAAGAGCUCGUAGGCGGUUUGUCGCGUCUGCUGUGAAAUCCCGAGGCUCAACCUCGGGCCUGCAGUGGGUACGGGCAAACUAGAGUGUGGUAGGGGAGAUUGGAACUCCUGGUGUAGCGGUGGAAUGCGCAGAUAUCAGGAAGAACACCGAUGGCGAUGGCAGAUCUCUGGGCCAUUACUGACGCUGAGGAGCGAAAGCGUGGGGAGCGAACAGGAUUAGAUACCCUGGUAGUCCACGCCGUAAACG